AUUGAACGCUGGCGGAAUGCUUUACACAUGCAAGUCGAACGGUAGAGGGGGCAACCCCUCGAGAGUGGCGAACGGGUGAGUAAUAUAUCGGAACGUGCCCAGUCGUGGGGGAUAACGUAGCGAAAGUUACGCUAAUACCGCAUACGAUCUAAGGAUGAAAGCGGGGGAUCGCAAGACCUAGCUCGAUUGGAGCGGUCGAUAUCAGAUUAGGUAGUUGGUGGGGUAAAGGCUCACCAAGCCAACGAUCUGUAGCUGGUCUGAGAGGACGACCAGCCAAACUGGAACUGAGACACGGCCCAGACUCCUACGGGAGGCAGCAGUGGGGAAUUUUGGACAAUGGACGCAAGUCUGAUCCAGCCAUUCCGCGUGCAGGAUGAAGGCCCUCGGGUUGUAAACUGCUUUUGUACGGAACGAAAAGGUCUCUCUUAAUACGGGGGACUCAUGACGGUACCGUAAGAAUAAGCACCGGCUAACUACGUGCAGCAGCCGCGGUAA
This 495-nucleotide ribosomal RNA is filed under the name uncultured bacterium. RNAcentral describes it as "partial 16S ribosomal RNA". It matches the Rfam family "Bacterial small subunit ribosomal RNA", at positions 30 to 523 of the family's 1533-position model. The record is from RNAcentral.